GACAGAGGGGGCAAGCGUUGCUCGGAAUUACUGGGCGUAAAGAGCUCGUAGGUGGUUUGUCGCGUUGUUCGUGAAAACUCACAGCUCAACUGUGGGCGUGCGGGCGAUACGGGCAGACUGGAGUACUGCAGGGGAGACUGGAAUUCCUGGUGUAGCGGUGGAAUGUGCAGAUAUCAGGAGGAACACCGGUGGCGAAGGCGGGUCUCUGGGCAGUAACUGACGCUGAGGAGCGAAAGCGUGGGGAGCGAACAGG
RNAcentral lists this ribosomal RNA (253 nucleotides) under uncultured bacterium. RNAcentral describes it as "partial 16S ribosomal RNA". It matches the Rfam family "Bacterial small subunit ribosomal RNA", at positions 524 to 776 of the family's 1533-position model. The record is from RNAcentral.